This 261-nucleotide unclassified non-coding RNA is filed under the name Hevea brasiliensis (rubber tree). The record is from RNAcentral. Lineage: Eukaryota; Viridiplantae; Streptophyta; Magnoliopsida; Malpighiales; Euphorbiaceae.
GGUGAAAUACCAAUUCAGUUGUGCCACUUGUUCAAAUUAAGAUUGGUUGAUUUUUCUAAUAAUAAUCUUUCUGGUCCUGUUCCCCCUUGCAUAAGCCUUCGUAGGUAUUCUGAUCGCGUAAGUGUUUACUGGCGUUCUCCUAGUGGUUUUAUGACUCAACCUGUGGAGGUUACAACAAAGAAUGCAUCGCGUUAUUUCCAAGCAAGGAUUCUCAGGCUUAUGUUAGGACUCGAUCUAUCCUGCAACAAUUUGACAGGUGAA